UACAGAGGUCCCGAGCGUUGUUCGGAUUCACUGGGCGUAAAGGGUGCGUAGGUGGCUUGAAAAGUUUGAUGUGAAAGCUCAGGGCUUAACCCUGAAAUGGCAUUGAAAACUGUCGGGCUGGAGGUUUGGAGGGGGGACUGGAAUUCUUGGUGUAGCAGUGAAAUGCGUAGAUAUCAGGAGGAACACCGGUGGCGAAGGCGGGUCUCUGGGCCGAUACUGACGCUGAGGAGCGAAAGCGUGGGGAGCGAACAGG
RNAcentral lists this ribosomal RNA (253 nucleotides) under uncultured bacterium. RNAcentral's name for it is "partial 16S ribosomal RNA". It matches the Rfam family "Bacterial small subunit ribosomal RNA", at positions 524 to 776 of the family's 1533-position model. The record is from RNAcentral.